This 68-nucleotide transfer RNA is filed under the name Echimys saturnus (dark spiny tree-rat). Its description in RNAcentral is "tRNA-Gly". The record is from RNAcentral. Lineage: Eukaryota; Metazoa; Chordata; Mammalia; Rodentia; Echimyidae.
ACUUUCUUAGUAUACAUAGUACUGCUGACUUCCAAUCAGCAAGACCCGAGUAAUAGCGGGAGAAAGUA